UUUAAACAAAUAUUCUCUGUUAAGAUUUCUUUGGUAUUGAAAAUGGACAACAUCAGUCUAUGAUUUCAUCUAGCCCCAGUAGCCCCCAAUAUAAACUUUAAACAACAAUAAAUAUGUUGAUAUUUAUAUAUAAACAUAAAAAAGUUUCAUAUGGACCAACAUUUCUACCAAAUUUUAAUGUUCACUUCAUGGUUGAUUUUACCCUCCAUAUGAGGUCUUAUAUGUUCUAAAAUCUCUCUAAGUCCAUAUAGAGAUUCGAUGAAAACUACAACAGAACAAUUUGAACUGUUGUGUACUGAAUUAAAAAAAUUCCCGAAAGUUGAAUGCAAUUGGUCCCCCCUCCAGAGAAGUCGUAGAAUGGAAAAAAUUAAAUAUUUUGUUAUAAUAUUUAAAUAUUUUCAGAUUUGGUCGGAUUUAAGGGGCAGAACAAAAAUGAAAAUUGCUGCAAAUAACAACCAGCAUUGCCAUCAGGCAUAUCACAUUCAAAAUUGUGCUGUAUAUCAACAUCUUUAGGGAGAUCGUCAUUAUAGUCAAUACAAGCAUUAUGUACUGCGCAGCACA
Molecule: long non-coding RNA, 561 nt
Organism: Lucilia cuprina (Australian sheep blowfly)
Lineage: Eukaryota; Metazoa; Arthropoda; Insecta; Diptera; Calliphoridae
Exons: 2
Source: RefSeq, a predicted model, not a curated record